This 261-nucleotide long non-coding RNA is filed under the name Serinus canaria (Common canary). RNAcentral describes it as "lncRNA (ENSSCAG00000005310.1)". The record is from RNAcentral. Lineage: Eukaryota; Metazoa; Chordata; Aves; Passeriformes; Fringillidae.
AUGAUGGAGCAGUUCAGGGACUGCAGUAGCAGCCUUAAGGCUCCUGAGUCUCCAUUAGGGGAAAACUGCAUCACACCAUCAGUGUCUCCUCUGCUUAUCUGUUGCAAUGAGGAUGGGAGAGGAAGUUUGGGCAUGAGCAUGUGGGCUCAGAGACCUACCUGCAGAUACUGGUCAGAGCUCCUGAGAUGCCAGAGCUUCGUCCUUCAGCCGCACUGUGUGCCAGGCUCGGCAGUGCGGCUGUUUCACGCUCUGUUACCAUAA